UACGAAGGGUGCAAGCGUUACUCGGAAUUACUGGGCGUAAAGCGUGCGUAGGUGGUUUGUUAAGUCUGAUGUGAAAGCCCCGGGCUCAACCUGGGAACAGCGCUUGAGACUGGCACGCUCGAGUUCGGGAGAGGAUGGUGGAAUUCCCAGUGUAGAGGUGAAAUUCGUAGAUAUUGGGAAGAACACCGAUGGCGAAGGCAGCCAUCUGGACCGACACUGACGCUGAGGCGCGAAAGCGUGGGGAGCAAACAGG
RNAcentral lists this ribosomal RNA (253 nucleotides) under uncultured bacterium. RNAcentral's name for it is "partial 16S ribosomal RNA". It matches the Rfam family "Bacterial small subunit ribosomal RNA", at positions 524 to 776 of the family's 1533-position model. The record is from RNAcentral.